GGGUGAGUAACACGUGGGUAACCUGCCUCAAAGAGGGGAAUAGCCUCCCGAAAGGGAGAUUAAUACCGCAUAAUAUUAAAGUUUCACAUGGAGCUUUAAUUAAAGGAGUAAUCCGCUUUGAGAUGGACCCGCGGCGCAUUAGCUAGUUGGAGAGGUAACGGCUCACCAAGGCGACGAUGCGUAGCCGACCUGAGAGGGUGAUCGGCCACAUUGGAACUGAGACACGGUCCAGACUCCUACGGGAGGCAGCAGUGGGGAAUAUUGCACAAUGGGCGAAAGCCUGAUGCAGCAACGCCGCGUGAGUGAUGACGGUCUUCGGA
This 320-nucleotide ribosomal RNA is filed under the name Clostridium pasteurianum. Its description in RNAcentral is "bacterial SSU rRNA". It matches the Rfam family "Bacterial small subunit ribosomal RNA", at positions 104 to 422 of the family's 1533-position model. The record is from RNAcentral. Lineage: Bacteria; Bacillati; Bacillota; Clostridia; Eubacteriales; Clostridiaceae.